AGUGAACGCUGGCGGUAGGCCUAACACAUGCAAGUCGAACGGCAGCACCGUAAGAGCUUGCUCUUACGGGUGGCGAGUGGCGGACGGGUUAGGAAUACAUCGGACUCUACUUUUUCGUGGGGGAUAACGUAGUGAAACUUACGCUAAUACCGCAUACGACCUACGUGUGAAAGCAGGGGAUCUUCGGACCUUGCGCGAUUUCAUGAGCCGAUGUCGGAUUAGCUAGUUGGCGGGGUAAAGGCCCACCAAGGCGACGAUCCGUAGCUGGUCUGAGAGGAUGAAGAGCGACACUGGAACUGAGACACGGUCCAGACUCCUACGGGAGGCAGAAGUGGGGAAGAUUGGACAAUGGGCGCAAGCCUGAACCAGCCAUACCGCGUGGGUGAAGAAGGCCUUCGGGUUGUAAAGCCCUUUUGUUGGGAAAGAAAAGCAGCAGGUUAAUACAACGCUGUUCUGACGGUACCCAAAGAAUAAGCACCGGCUAACUUCGUG
RNAcentral lists this ribosomal RNA (492 nucleotides) under uncultured bacterium. Its description in RNAcentral is "partial 16S ribosomal RNA". It matches the Rfam family "Bacterial small subunit ribosomal RNA", at positions 29 to 507 of the family's 1533-position model. The record is from RNAcentral.